Unclassified non-coding RNA from Pongo abelii (Sumatran orangutan), 117 nucleotides. It matches the Rfam family "Metazoan signal recognition particle RNA". From Rfam's summary of the family: The signal recognition particle (SRP) is a universally conserved ribonucleoprotein. It is involved in the co-translational targeting of proteins to membranes. The eukaryotic SRP consists of a 300-nucleotide 7S RNA and six proteins: SRPs 72, 68, 54, 19, 14, and 9. The record is from Ensembl. Lineage: Eukaryota; Metazoa; Chordata; Mammalia; Primates; Hominidae.
GCUGGGCGUGGUGGCUCACGCCUGUAAUCCCAAAACUUUGGGAGGCCGAGGCAGGCGGAUCACCUGAGGUCAGGAGUUCAAGACCAGCCUGGCCAACACGGUGAAACCCUGUCUCUA